ACACGAGGCACACAUGUAUAUCAGCGUAACACGUACACUAUAUAUGUAACGACAGUUGAAAGUGUGAUGCGGUUAAACUGCUUACUCACGGUUGAUAAGAGUAAACUGAAAUUCGUUGAUCACAUUGUAGUCGCGGGGAACGUCCAGUGUUUUUAUGACUGAAAGGUUUUCCUUUGCAGACCCCUAAUCUUCUGCAUUUGAAUACUGAUAACGGCACAUAAUCUCCAAGCAGAACAUGUAAGUCUAUUUGAAUAAUAACGUGAAUAAUAAGGAAAGAAGGGUAAGAAGUCGUUCGUCGGUGUUUGCCCGAGGCAGGUGGGAAUUCCAGUGUUCGCAGGAAGCAUCGGGAAACUACGUUCCGUGGAGCAAGGGGAACAUCGUUGUGAACACCAGGAGUAAUUCUUAAUGUCAGUUGGAGCCGCAAUUGUUGGUUAAACCUUCGGCCCUAAGCGAUGACCUCCGUUACAGUGACUUUCCGUUUUCCGACUUAACUCAUCUACGUGAUUAGACGCGUGUAACAGUGAUGCCGCAUAAAAGAAACCCGGAAAUAGGUCAUCAGGGAAACAACCGUUCCAGGGGAUUUCUCGGUUAAACAGAUCGGGAAAUUUAAUCAAUUCUGUGUUGACACUUUACAGAAUUUAUUGGUCAGGUAAGCACCGUAGCCGAUGGCGUUCACUCGGAGCUGAAACACGAGAGCAACAUGAUUUCCUGUUGGAAAAUGAAAUAACAAUAAUAAAAAUAAAAGGAAACGUACACAUGCAUGCAACGUCACAGUCUACCUUGGUGCUUCGUUUGUGUCGUCCAGCUAAACGAAGAACAGAGAUUAUUACUCCACCAUGAUCAUCGACACGUCAAACGAAGACAGACAAUAGAAGACGACAGAACAACCUCUGAUCACCCUGUCAAAGAAGAAAUGAACUCUAUUGUGCGGCAUUGCAGUCGAUACACUUCCUUGAUUUUUUGUUCGAUGAUGAUGAUUAAGAAGAUUGGGGGCGAUUAGGUCAGAACGAGAAUUAAAAAUACUUGGAAUAAUUGUCUCUGCUCACAAUGAUGUUAUAACAGUCCUAUAACAAGAAAUCGAAUGCUUCACGUUCUCAAUCUAUCGGUAAAUUUGCAUAAAUAUCCUCUGCUCGUAAUUAUUCAGUGAUUCACCGGGAGAACGAGUUUAUUGCGAUGUUUACCGUAGUUGGAUUGUAAAAAAUAUUAUAAUUCCUCUUCUGGAUACGUCAUUCGAAUGACUCUGUUGACUGUUAACUUGCAGCUCACAGUUUAUUAACUAUAAGACAAAUUAACACUAGAACUACUAACAGUCCAAUAAGAUUAAUAUGCGAUUCUUAUAAAAAUAGAUAUCUGGUAACAAUAGAUUUUUUCCAGUUUCCUUAUACAUUCAGUUCUAAGAUGUAUAUUCUAUGUCUAGAAUCUUUUUUAUUUUCAAUGAAUUAUUGAUAAUAAAGUAGUUGUAUCGAUCGCAGCUGAGAAAUAAAUCGCAAGGCAGAGUUAAAAGACUGCAGCGUACUGAUUUCAGUCAUCGAUUGAUACAUCGUACAAUGUUUGCAACGAUUUCAUAUAAUGUAACGAAUGAAAUGAACUUGACCUUCUCUUCUGCAGAUGCAUGACAUUCAACGAGGUAAAUAAAUAACGUAACGUAAGAACGUACGAUAGCAAGUAAUUAGUAAUUAUAUACAAUAAGCAAUGUCAUUCAGAACGCCAACAAUGCCCAUAGUAAUCGACGUGUUAAGAAAUUCAGUGCUAUACUAACUGGUGUUGGAAGGAUUCAACAAUCCUUGCAAGCCGGCGCCGGCUUUAGCUCCCCAGGGUGUCCCUGCGCUGACAUCAUAUCCACCCCCAAGUUGGGAGCCAUCCGCGUUAGCGCGUCGUCCGACUUGAGCGUGGAAACCACCGAAAUUCACCUUGAAGCCCCCGUCGCUAGACUGAAGCCAUGGGAUCUGGGGUUGCGUCAAAACGGAACGAAUUAGGAAAUGUAUCGUGUCGCUGAUAUUUCAUCAUUGUGUCAUUAUUAUUUCAAUAAGGCACUUUAAGGUAUUCGACAUUUUAAAAUAUGAAAGUGUAAGGUUUACAAAAAUGUGUAAUUUCAGAAAAAGUAUGCUGGAGACAGAAUAGAGUGCAUUAAUGUAAUACGAUAUAUAUUGUUAAUAUAAAUGAUAUGUUGAAUAUUUAAUAUUUCAAAUUAAACUUCAUAGUUGAAUAUUUAAUAUUUCAAAUUAAACUUCAUAGUUGAAUAUUUAAUAUUUCAAAUUAAACUUCAUAGUUGAACAUUUAAUAUUUCAAAUUAAAUUUCAUAGUUGAACAUUUAAUAUUUCAAAUUAAACUUCAUAGUUUUGUAGUAUCGAACCACGUGGUGACUGAGAAUUUGCAUUGCUACGUGAAAUAUUGAAAUAAAACACCUCUGUCGAUUAAUUUAUCUAUAAAUAAUUAAAUUAGUUUCAAGCAAUAUAUCCUACAUCUCGUCAGAAAAUGUUGAAUAUUUCCAUUGAGAAACUUUCGAGAGCAAAGGGUUAAGUCAACUUUGUGCUCACCUGUGACUGUGGCAUCCCAUGAGCUAGGGCCAGCAAACAAAGGCCAAAGAUCACAACUACCGCACCGCGCAGCAUCUUUCUGUCUACUGGCUAGCGCUGUCCACUGCCAUCGAACGUAUACCGGUGUUUUAUAAUAAUACCACGAACUCAUUUCAUACUCAGCGGACGAAGGUAGGAGGAGUCCAAAAAAAAACACAAGCUAGUUACAGAGUUCGCUCACGAUCGACGCUGAUUAUGAGUCACAUAGUAAGUUAAUCGUAUAAGAAUCCCACCGUGAAUCCUGAGUUCAAGGAUUCGUGAAAAAAUUUCACACGUUCGGUACACGAAAUUAUAUAGCCGAAGUUUCGAUUCAAAGUGGAUAGCGAUUAUGUCAGUUUUUAGCUGAAGGUAAUUAACUGUAAUUUACGUUCUGUUUCCUUUAGGGCACAACGAAAGAGGAGAUUCAGACGUUCAAGGUCCAUAGAUGAUUAUUAUCGUGAAUUCAUCGCUAGCGAACGCAACAAAGAAUAAGAGAAGCAGCGAAUCAUACUUAUUUCGAGGUACUCGAUCGUUUAUUUAUUUGGAUACAACAAAUUAUCAUAUAGUAUUCGUGUUGUAAUAUGGAUUUUCGUUGAUUCGUGUUAGCCUUUCCUUUCAUUACCAGUUUCCUCACUGUAAAUAUUUUUAUAAUUAAUCUUUACUGAAAUAUUUUUAUAAUAAGUCUAAGAAGACAGUUAGACAGUUAUAAUUGAACCUUUAACCCUUUGCGGUCCGAAGUGCUCUUGGUUUCAUUUUGAGGUUCACGUUAGUUCAUUCAAUUACAGCUUAACAUGACGCUCUUAUCAGUAUCAAUUAUAAUUUUCUUACUAUGUCUU
Molecule: long non-coding RNA, 3391 nt
Organism: Nomia melanderi (Alkali bee)
Lineage: Eukaryota; Metazoa; Arthropoda; Insecta; Hymenoptera; Halictidae
Source: RefSeq, a predicted model, not a curated record